CUGAGCACUUGAAAAAAAGCAGAAUACAUGUGGGCAAGAGCGCUCCUUUGUUCUUCUCCUCUUCUACAAAGCUGGUUUUACAUAUAGUAUAUGCUGGAGUGGUCCUUCAAACUUUUAUGGCCAUGCCCUUCUUCCAUUGCUUCUUUACAUAUGAUCAUAUCUAUAUAAAUAUAUUGAGAGAAUAACAAUUUUCAUUUCUACCAGUUGAAGAAAUCAAGAAAUACCUGAGAGAGAUCUGAUGAGGUGAAUUUUGUAAGUCCUUCCAUGCUUUUCCACAGCUUUCUUGAACUUCUUCGACAUGAAUUUAGAUCCCUCUAUCGGAAUAUAUGGAGGAUUAUUAUGAAGAAGAUGGAAGUUCAAGAAAGCUGUGGGACAACAUGAAAAUUUAGGACUUAGUUCUCUUUGGUGCAUCACUCCACUGCUGCUGAUCAGAAGAACAUUUUUCCUGACUGGUAAUUAUCCCUUGAAUUUCUCAAGAAACCCUUUCUUUAAUUCUCGAAACUCUUCACCGACAGCCAUGAAAAUGAAAUUUUGCAUAAUAAUUCUUGAAAAACUUGACUAUCAGGCAUGUAUAUUUGCAUAAUUCUUGAAGUUCUUGACUGAGCCAUGAAAAAUUUCUUUAAGUUCUGACUGGCAGCAAUGAAAAUCUGCAUAAUUCUUGAAAUUCUUGACUAACAGCCAUGAAAAUUUCCAUAAUUCUUGGAAAAGCCCAUGAUUAUUGUUUUAACCUAAGAUCGAGAUGUUAUACACGCAUAUGAAUUUGAUGAAAUAGUUUUUACAAAUUUGCUGCCGAAUUGCUUGAUUAUGCAAGAAGGAUGUGAUUGUUGAUAUCCUUUUACAGCACACUUUUUUGACUUUUUAAUUGUUUGUACGGUGUUUUAUGCUAAAUUUUACGUUGGAUUUCAAUGUCAAAAGGCAGUGAAAACUGACGGUCAGUUUAUGUUUCAGAGUAGAUUCCCCUUAUCUUUCCACCUUAUCAUCAAUAAAUGAUGUUUGUCUCUCUUUUUUGCCUUUUGUUUUUACCUCUGUACUGUGAUCUCACACAUUAUUUCCAUGAAAAAGGCUAAAAUUUUGUCAUUUUCUGCAACUUUAUUAUUUUUACCUUCUUCCUAUUCUCACGCUGGCAAACCACACGCACGCAUGCAGUGAUACAGACAAAUAUGUACAUACAUGUUUUGAUGUUCAUACACUUCACACAGUAAAUUUACUGAUAUACACAUUGGUACUUGCAGAUUUAAGAGUAUUGUUGGUUGAGUUCAUGUUGGAACUUCAAGUUUUAUUCAUGUAUUUGAAAAAAAUUGUGUUGAUGAGGUAGUGAUUUAUGCCUUCUCAACUGUGUACCUACCCAUUUAUAAGUUUAUUCCAAAGUUUCGAUGGCGUGUUGAAUAUUACUAGACAGUAUAAUUGCUGAUUUUUUAUUUAAUAUAGUCCAGCUACUAUCUAUUUUAACUUUUCAGACCUCUCAACGAGUUCUAUCUACAUAUUGGGUAGUGAAUGAGACCAUACUCGUAUGUACUAAAAAGGAAUCUAAGCUAAAAUCUUAUCUAAUCAUAUCCAGAGCUUUUAAAUUAAGGACCAAAUAAAAUG
RNAcentral lists this long non-coding RNA (1587 nucleotides) under Olea europaea subsp. europaea. The stretch from base 261 to 384 matches the Rfam family "MIR396 microRNA precursor family". The record is from RNAcentral. Lineage: Eukaryota; Viridiplantae; Streptophyta; Magnoliopsida; Lamiales; Oleaceae.